Molecule: small RNA, 606 nt
Filed under: Clostridium pasteurianum BC1
Lineage: Bacteria; Bacillati; Bacillota; Clostridia; Eubacteriales; Clostridiaceae
Source: RNAcentral
GAUAUAAUACUUGAUAGUGGUGCAGUAUUCUAGUCAGGUAAGCUUUUUUUAAAGGCGGGGCUAAAAAUCCGUUACAGGGCAUAUCGAUGAAGUUCUUGGUGCUUGCCUAUGACGCCCAGUCAUGGGUUUGUGCUGGGAGUAAGGAGGCUGGGGCAACCGCAAUGGCAUGCGCAACUGACCCUACCUUCGUGGAGACCAUUAUCUGUGAGCCAGGUUAGAUACCUAGUUUACGGCAAUGGGUUAAACCUGCAUUGUGGUACAAAAGCUAUGUGCAGUGUAGCCUGCCUUGAGUGAAGUGGGUAGAGGACAGGAAAAGUAAAAUUUUAGGCCAAAAAUUUUAUUCAGAUGCCUUCUGAAACCUAUUUUGCAAAAGAGGCUAAGAAAGAGCCUAACUGUUGAGGAAAACUCCUAGACUGUUCGAAAGAGGUAUGAUGGGGAUUGCAAUGCGGACUUAGUGGUAAUCUAGUCCUAAUUAUGGUGACGUGUUAGGUGAGUUAUCAAAAGGAAACUGCCGUUACGGCGACGUUUCGGUUAACUCAUGGGAAAUCCUACUGGACCUAUGCCGCAAGAUUUACUCAACAUACUGCCACUUCUUUUGUAAUGCAU